RNAcentral lists this long non-coding RNA (1588 nucleotides) under Homo sapiens (human). RNAcentral describes it as "non-protein coding lnc-ZNF705E-1:12". The record is from RNAcentral. Lineage: Eukaryota; Metazoa; Chordata; Mammalia; Primates; Hominidae.
GGGCCGGGUCUCCAGGGAGGACCUGAUUUUUCUUCACCCAUAGUUAGGGAGGCGCAAUCGCCCUGGCUUUGGGGCUGGGGCCUCCGGGGAGGUUCCGGUAGGGGCGUUGGAGAGGCCGCUCUUUUUGCAAGGCCCGAGACGGCGGGCCCUGCGCAGGCCGCCCUAUUCCGCGCCCUCAGGGCGUCAGUAUCCGCCUGAGGCCGGAUACCCCAGCUGGGCCCGGAUGCCGUCGAUGGGCCCGGAGCAUCCUCGGCGCUGCCCUCCCAGAGCCCCGCAGAGGCUGAGGUGGCGCGGGGGGCGGGCCCGGCUCCGCGAGAAGCAGCGGCAGCGAGGGCUGGAGGACCCGGGCUACGGGGCUCUGGGGCGUCUGGCCUGGGUGGGACUGAGCCCAUUCGGGGGGACUCCGGGGUUCUGGUGUAGGUAGAUCCGGGGCAGGCUCAGGACCAAGUCCCUCUCCUUCCACCAAGGAGCGCCCAGAGGCCGGCGGGAGCUCCAGGUUCACCUCCUCCUCCUCCAGGAAAUCCCACUUCCAACUGGAUGUCUGGAUGAACUACUGAAAGCUGCUGAGUGUCCUGCAGCAGGGUCGGUGGACCUGGGUGUCUGUCUGGACACAUCCUCCAGUGGCCUGGACCUGCCCAUGAAGGUGGUGGACAUGUUCAGGAGCUGUUUGCCUGCGUGUGCUGUGAACUUCAAGUGAGCCAAGAGCUGGUUAGAGCUGCAAGGACACCGCCUGCACAGGAUGCCCGGGGCUGGGCAUUACCUGCUGCAAUGACAACAUCUGGCUGGAUGGCAGAGAGCUGACAGACCGUCGCGACGUCCCAGUCCAGCUGGGCCACUGUCACCCUGGGGCUGUCUAAGUUGGCAGUGAUAUCUGCACCUAAUGAGAGGCCAUUGAGAAGGACAUUCCCUCAGAGCUGCUAGAGGACCCAGCUGUGACAGUCCCUGAAGAUGUAUGCCCGGGGGUGGCACAUCUUGCAGAUGGCCAGGCCUGUGAGGCCAGCACCACUGCCAAGCUCUAGGACAGUCCUGGUGGGAGGAAAGGGGGUCAUGUCUGCGACUGCACCAGGGUAAGCCUGCCUCGGUGCCCUGCCCUGUGCCCUGAGGUCACCUAUCAGUGAAGGCUGCUGGGUUCUCGAUGGCCCAUUCUGCAAGGUAGAGGGCGGCAUCCCAUGUGACCAGGACUGUGAUGCCGUGGGAGAUGAUGGCUGUGCUCUUGGAGAGUGUGACUGAGCCUCCCGAGGGCAGCACCAAGAGAAGGCGAGAGAGUCAGUCCAGCGAUCAGAAGGCAAGUGGCUUAGAAGACAAGCAGCCAUCCACCACAUGGCUGAAUAAACCAUGACAGGACAAAUCGCCACUCAGCAAUGAGAAGCAGCUAACUGUUGACAUGCCAACAGCUUGCACAGGCCUCAAGGGUGUCACGUGGCAUGAAAGACACUCAUCUCAGGCCACACAGGAUUCCAUUCAUUGAACAUUCCUGAGACAAUGGAAUUCUGGCGAUGGAGCACAGGUCAGUUGUGGCCAGGGGCCGGGUGUGGCUAUGAAGGGGUGGCUGCCUUGUGAUGAUUCAAUAUGCUAUGUUUUUCCUUUG